This 1284-nucleotide long non-coding RNA is filed under the name Triticum aestivum (bread wheat). Its description in RNAcentral is "long non-coding RNA (TAES_LNC010626)". Lineage: Eukaryota; Viridiplantae; Streptophyta; Magnoliopsida; Poales; Poaceae. The record is from RNAcentral.
UGCUGCUGGUGCUUCCUCGCUCUUCUUCGUGUACUCCCUGGACUAUGCUAGGACAAGGCUGGCCAAUGACGCAAAGGCAUCCAAGGGUGGAGGUGACAGGCAAUUCAAUGGCCUGGUUGAUGUCUACCGCAAGACUCUCAAGUCAGAUGGUAUUGCUGGGCUUUACCGUGGAUUCAACAUCUCUUGUGUUGGAAUCAUUGUCUACCGUGGUCUGUACUUUGGACUGUAUGAUUCUCUGAAGCCCGUUCUCCUCACUGGCACUCUCCAGGUUUGUUCUAGUACCUUGCCACAUUCCAUUCUAUUGUCAAAUUUCUCUGUUUGUGUGACAGCCACUGACAUCCUUGAUCACCAUUCACCUGUUUGCAGGACAACUUCUUUGCCAGCUUUGCUCUUGGUUGGUUGAUCACCAACGGUGCCGGUCUUGCAUCUUACCCCAUUGACACCGUCCGCAGAAGGAUGAUGAUGACCUCCGGAGAGGCUGUCAAGUACAAGAGCUCCUUGGAUGCUUUCCAGCAGAUCCUGGCGAAGGAGGGUGCCAAGUCUCUCUUCAAGGGUGCUGGUGCCAACAUCCUCCGUGCCAUUGCUGGUGCUGGUGUGCUCUCCGGCUACGAUCAGCUCCAGAUCCUCUUCUUCGGCAAGAAGUACGGCUCAGGCGGUGCCUAGAGGGGAAGAAAUGAUGACGAACAAGAGAAGUCUGUUCCCAGUCCUGCCCUUCAAGGAUCUGGCGAACUUUUAUCUUUUUAACGUUGGAAGGCAAUAAUUUCUGUAGAGGGUGGAUUUUCCCAACAUUCGUUUUUGGUGGAGGCAUCGAACUCCAGAGGUUGUCGUAGGUUGGCGGCAGCGUUCUCAAAACAUUUACUAUCAUAGGGGUUGAGUUUGAGUUCGAGUAUGUGCCCUGAAUCGUUACUGGGCAAUUUUCCUUAAAUACAUUGUCCUCCAAUCCUACUGAGAUUAUUAUGGUCCAAGUUUAUGCUGUUGGUCUUGACAUCCUAUUUCUGUUUGCAUUUUUAGUUUAUGCUGUUGCUUUGCCUGUUCAUAAUUCUUAUUGAUUUGCCUGUGAUUCUUGUUUUACUUGCUUUGUCUGUGAGAUUCUGAUUCGUGUUAGUACACUGCCUCAGUUCCGAAAUGUAGUAGUGCGUAGCCAAACAUCACAAACUUUGAUCAAAUUUGCGCAACAUUUACAUCGUAUCAUUAACAAUAAUAAGUAUUUUCAUGUUAAAUAUAUUUCGUGUUGUAAGUAUAAAUAGUUUUAAAGUUCUGGAAAUUUUUGACUUUAAAAAAAAA